CAUUACCGAGUUAUACAACUCAUCAACCCUGUGAACAUACCUAUAACGUUGCCUCGGCGGGAACAGACGGCCCCGUAACAACGGGCCGCCCCCGCCAGAGGACCCCCUAACUCUGUUUCUAUAAUGUUUCUUCUGAGUAAACAAGCAAAUAAAUUAAAACUUUCAACAACGGAUCUCUUGGCUCUGGCAUCGAUGAAGAACGCAGCGAAAUGCGAUAAGUAAUGUGAAUUGCAGAAUUCAGUGAAUCAUCGAAUCUUUGAACGCACAUUGCGCCCGCCAGUAUUCUGGCGGGCAUGCCUGUUCGAGCGUCAUUACAACCCUCAGGCCCCCGGGCCUGGCGUUGGGGAUCGGCGGAAGCCCCCUGUGGGCACAACGCCGUCCCCCAAAUACAGUGGCGGUCCCGCCGCAGCUUCCAUUGCGUAGUAGCUAACACCUCGCAACUGGAGAGCGGCGCGGCCACGCCGUAAAACACCCAACUUCUGAAUGUUGACCUCGAAUCAGGUAGGAAUACCCG
Molecule: ribosomal RNA, 514 nt
Filed under: Fusarium solani
Lineage: Eukaryota; Fungi; Ascomycota; Sordariomycetes; Hypocreales; Nectriaceae
Description: eukaryotic LSU rRNA
Rfam family: 5.8S ribosomal RNA (bases 158-311)
Source: RNAcentral